UACGGAGGAUCCAAGCGUUGUUCGGAAUCACUGGGCGUAAAGCGCUCGCAGGCGGGUGCGGAAGUCGGGGGUGAAAGGCCGGGGCUCAACCCCGGACCGUUCUCUCGAUACUCCGUGCCUAGGGACCGGUAGAGGCCAGUAGAAUUCCCGGAGUAGCGGUGGAAUGCGUAGAUAUCGGGAAGAACACCAGAGGCGAAGGCGACUGGCUGGGCCGGAUCCGACGCUCAGGAGCGGAAGCGUGGGGAGCAAACAGG
Molecule: unclassified non-coding RNA, 254 nt
Filed under: uncultured Gemmatimonadota bacterium
Lineage: Bacteria; Pseudomonadati; Gemmatimonadota
Description: uncultured Gemmatimonadetes bacterium contains 16S-23S intergenic spacer region
Rfam family: Bacterial small subunit ribosomal RNA
Source: RNAcentral